Long non-coding RNA from Peromyscus eremicus (cactus mouse), 646 nucleotides. RefSeq lists it as uncharacterized. The record is from RefSeq and is a predicted model, not a curated record. The transcript is spliced from 2 exons. Lineage: Eukaryota; Metazoa; Chordata; Mammalia; Rodentia; Cricetidae.
GCUGCCUAUAAAUGUCUCUGUAAGUGAUUCUUCUGUGGUUUGGAAUAAAGAACCAGAGUGGCAUGGAAACAGAGCCUCACGGAAUCCUGGAGCUGAGUAACGUCAGGGACACCCCUAGCCCCACACUCUAAGGUUCAGUGCUCAGGAGACGGUUUUGAGCUAGGAGAUUCACCAUUCUUACUCUAGGAACGUAGAUGAGUAGAUCUGAGUGCCAGACUGGCAGUCAAAUGCCUACUGCCACUUGUGUUUGGACUUGAUGCCACAUGAAAGAACUAAAAUGAAGACAGUAGCAAAGGUAUAUGUACGCUGAUACACGGGACUGGGAACGGAGAGAUGAUACGAACCUGUGAUUUUUCUGAAUCAGCGUGAAUUCAUGGUUGUAUCUGUCAGUCAGUACAAAACCACAGUUCUACUGUCAGCAGCUGCAGGGACGGCUCACCACUCUAAGACUGUCACCCACGGUCACUCACGGCAGCCCAAGGGGCUCUUCUAAUCUCUUAGAGACUUCAAUUUCGGCAGAGCCAAGUCCUUCACUACCGAGCAGAAUCUCAGUGUGACCAACCGAGUGUGACUAAUCUCAGUGUGACCAAUCUCAGAAUCAACCAGUGUGAGCAACUGCAGUUUAUUAAAAGACAUUUGAAACACA